CAUCACUCAAAAAAAAUAAAUAAAUAAAAAAAAACGAGAUCAUCAUCAAUCAUCUUUGUGUGGCCUUUGAUAAUACGUAAUAGAUAGUCCUAAUAACACAAGAACAUAAGUACGAUGACGCUGCAGCAGAGCAACAAGACUCCCGUGACGUUGACUGUCGGUGUGGCGAGAAGAGGCCCUUGGUGCCCCUGCCAAGGGAAAUGCCUGUCUACGUCGCCCCCUUUGUGAGGCGGCGGAAUAUAGAUGUGCAGAAGUACAAGGUAUAUACGGAAAACAAAAAACAUGUGAAGCAUACUUCAUACAUGGAUGGAUAAGGUCCCUGUACAAAGAUGCUGGACUACAGGCGGUGUACCCUGAGCUGUGAAGCAAAUAGUAUCCUGGCUGAUGUUCACAUCACUCCCCUGGAUUACCUGCCCUCUGCAUCAUUCCUUCAUUCCAACAAGAUGAACUCAGUCGCUGCCCUGGCUGGCAACAAUGAACACCACACCCGCAAGGUUCCACAAAUCUUCUUCAAACUUGGACAAGCAUUUUUCUGUGAAAACAUAUAGAAGUGAAGUCUGGUGUAAAACCUGUAUCCUACCACUAGAGUGGUGUUCCGAUUGGCAAAAACGUCCCAUCACCUGUGACUUGUGUAAACUAAACGAGUGGCAUGCAACACUCCUCCACAAUACUGAUGACUCAAAACUAUAAAGAUGAGUGGUCAACAGCCACCAAUUCCAACAACUACCAAAGGAUUCAAGAUCUACCCAAGAACCUACAUAAUAUGGAUGAGCACUCACAGUACCCAACUGACAUCUACACUCAGGAAGUUUUUUACAUCCCUGACAAUGACUUCAAAAUUCGUGACAGAAUGGGAACCCAGCCUACAACUGCAUCAACUGGAGAUACCAAGAGAGAGAGAGAGAGAGAGAAUUUUGCAAUAACUAAUAUAAAAGAAAAAGGCAAAGGAAAAGAGCAAGAGGAGGAGGAUCCAAAGAAGCGAUUGCAACAAAGCUAUGAAGAUCAGAAGUGGAGAAGCAAUGGCUCCCAAUAAAUCUUGCCCCACAUUCCACUGCACCAAGAUAAACUUUACAGCUUUCACAGCACUUCAAUCCAAGAGCCAUAUUCUGAAAUGCUUUGCACUCUAUUUAGGAUGAUUUUCAAACAUCAGCAGAAUCAUGUGGCGAGUUCUCGUGGAUAGUUUUUCCCACUGACCAUACAGCAUCACUAAAAUCAUGAAAACACUCUCCAAAAGUCCAACUUCACUUUUGAGAACCUGUUAGAAAUGAUCAAAACAAGUCACCUCAAUGUUUAAUUCUGGAAAAUCCAGAUCCAUUUUGUUUACAUAUUGCUGGUAGCUUUCUAAUAUAACCUUAGAAGAUGAAAAAUCAGCAUCGAUUUCCAUAAAUUUAU
Scylla paramamosain (green mud crab) is the source of this 1392-nucleotide long non-coding RNA. RefSeq lists it as uncharacterized. The transcript has 3 exons. The record is from RefSeq and is a predicted model, not a curated record. NCBI's taxonomy places the organism in Eukaryota, Metazoa, Arthropoda, Malacostraca, Decapoda, Portunidae.